GGCUAUUAGCUCAGGUGGUUAGAGCGCACCCCUGAUAAGGGUGAGGUCCCUGGUUCAAGUCCAGGAUGGCCCACCUAAAAAAUGUGGGGGUAUAGCUCAGUUGGUAGAGCGCUGCCUUUGCAAGGCAGAUGUCAGCGGUUCGAGUCCGCUUACCUCCACUGAAAAUAUUCCUAGAACAAAUCAGCACUACGGCUUUCGCGUGAAAGAAAGAGUAAAUGCUGGAAAAAGUUCCAGCCAGAACCUUGAAAACUGCAUAGAAGAAUCAAAAGGGAUCAAAAAAUGAAACCAAAACCGGGAAUAAAAAACCCGGAAAAGUU
RNAcentral lists this transfer RNA (317 nucleotides) under Planktothrix agardhii CCAP 1459/11A. RNAcentral's name for it is "partial 16S-23S ribosomal RNA intergenic spacer". The stretch from base 86 to 158 matches the Rfam family "tRNA". The record is from RNAcentral. RNAcentral also lists the same sequence under 319 other names. Lineage: Bacteria; Bacillati; Cyanobacteriota; Cyanophyceae; Oscillatoriales; Microcoleaceae.